CCCUGAUGCUCUCAAGGUGUUGAGACUCCAAUCAGGACAUAAAUACUGUCUCUUGGGUAAGCUUUCAUCAGAGGUUGGAUGGAACCACUAUGACACUAUCAAGGAGCUUGAGAACAAGAGAAAGGAGAGAGCUCAGGUAGCAUACGAGAGGAGAAAGCAGUUGGCCAAACUCAGGGUUAAGGCCGAGAAGGCUGCUGAGGAGAAGCUCGGUCCUCAACUUGCAGUUAUUGAACCUAUCAAGUAUUAGAGUGUAAACGUAGUUUUUAUUGAAGAUGAAAUUUUGCUUGAGAUUGAGAUUUCAACUUAAUCUAUCUUUUAAAGAUGCUACCUGUACUGCAUGGUCCAGUUUUUGCUUCUAGUAAUAUUCGAGCAGACUACAUUGUUUAACUAUCUUUCGAAGUUAUUUAUUUUAUGGUUUUAUUGACA
RNAcentral lists this unclassified non-coding RNA (426 nucleotides) under Hevea brasiliensis (rubber tree). The record is from RNAcentral. Lineage: Eukaryota; Viridiplantae; Streptophyta; Magnoliopsida; Malpighiales; Euphorbiaceae.